UACGUAGGGAGCAAGCGUUGUUCGGAUUUACUGGGCGUAAAGGGCGCGUAGGCGGCGCGGUAAGUCACUUGUGAAAUCUCUGAGCUUAACUCAGAACGGUCAAGUGAUACUGCAGUGCUAGAGUGCAGAAAGGGCAAUCGGAAUUCUUGGUGUAGCGGUGAAAUGCGUAGAUAUCAAGAGGAACACCUGAGGCGAAGGCGGGUUGCUAGGCUGACACUGACGCUGACAGCGCGAAAGCCAGGGGAGCAAACGGG
This 254-nucleotide ribosomal RNA is filed under the name uncultured bacterium. RNAcentral describes it as "partial 16S ribosomal RNA". It matches the Rfam family "Bacterial small subunit ribosomal RNA", at positions 524 to 776 of the family's 1533-position model. The record is from RNAcentral.